RNAcentral lists this ribosomal RNA (397 nucleotides) under uncultured bacterium. Its description in RNAcentral is "bacterial SSU rRNA". It matches the Rfam family "Bacterial small subunit ribosomal RNA", at positions 29 to 429 of the family's 1533-position model. The record is from RNAcentral.
AUUGAACGCUGGCGGCAUGCCUUACACAUGCAAGUCGAACGGCAGCACGGGGGCAACCCUGGUGGCGAGUGGCGGACGGGUGAGUAAUGCAUCGGAACGUGCCCUGAAGUGGGGGAUAACGCAGCGAAAGCUACGCUAAUACCGCAUAUUCUGUGAGCAGGAAAGCAGGGGAUCGCAAGACCUUGCGCUUUGGGAGCGGCCGAUGUCGGAUUAGCUAGUUGGUGGGGUAAAGGCCUACCAAGGCGACGAUCCGUAGCGGGUCUGAGAGGAUGAUCCGCCACACUGGGACUGAGACACGGCCCCAGACUCCUACGGGAGGCAGCAGUGGGAAUUUUGGACAAUGGGCGAAAGCCUGAUCCAGCCAUGCCGCGUGAGUGAAGAAGGCCUCGGUUGUAAG